This 277-nucleotide long non-coding RNA is filed under the name Linum usitatissimum (flax). RNAcentral's name for it is "long non-coding RNA (LUSI_LNC008327)". The record is from RNAcentral. Lineage: Eukaryota; Viridiplantae; Streptophyta; Magnoliopsida; Malpighiales; Linaceae.
AACCAACCAAAAGAGAUUUAUCGUCGAAGAGGUUGGGGAAGCGCGUAAUUGCUCGAAGUGCGAGCGUGUGUGUUAUUACUCUACUACAUCAUAAAUAAAAAAGAGGUGACGAAGCACAAUUAGCGUAACAUAAGGACUACAUCAUAAAUAAAAAAGAGGUGACGAAGCACAAUUAGCGUAACAUAAGGGAAAGCAGCUAGCGCGAAACGAAAGCAAGGGCGUCAGCUACUUCGUUCCUCUGUCCACGCGUGGACUAGACCGAUUGAAAAGAUGUUCA